UACGUAGGGUGCAAGCGUUGUCCGGAAUUAUUGGGCGUAAAGAGCUCGUAGGCGGUCUGUCGCGUCGGCUGUGAAAACCCGAGGCUCAACCUCGGGCCUGCAGUCGAUACGGGCAAACUAGAGUACUGCAGGGGAGACUGGAAUUCCUGGUGUAGCGGUGAAAUGCGCAGAUAUCAGGAGGAACACCGGUGGCGAAGGCGGGUCUCUGGGCCGAAACUGACGCUGAGGAGCGAAAGCGUGGGGAGCAAACAGG
RNAcentral lists this ribosomal RNA (253 nucleotides) under uncultured bacterium. RNAcentral's name for it is "partial 16S ribosomal RNA". It matches the Rfam family "Bacterial small subunit ribosomal RNA", at positions 524 to 776 of the family's 1533-position model. The record is from RNAcentral.